UCAUGUGUUAAGCUUGACCCAGGUAUGUUCAAUAAUCCAAGUUCCAGUUUUUGUUCACACAAAUUUUAUCUUGAUGAAUGAUGCGGGUGUGUGUGUGGUGUUCUUUACAUAAAUGAUUUUACACUCGCAGGCAAACCCAAAAACAUUGGUGGUUGUAGCCUGUGCUCUGAGAAUAUCCUGCAUCCUGCUGGGGGUGGAUACCACGGUGCCCAAGCUCGAUCUGUUCGACAUGCUCCUGGUGGCCUACAGAUUUCAUUCAAACAAGUGUGGUAGAAUCGUCCAUCACUAUGCUAAUAUAAUGUAGGCGGAAGAAGCAGAAAAUCAUGUUUAUGAACGUCAAACCUGUUCCAGUAGAAUCAUGCAUCAUUUUGGUUGUAAUGAAGGUUAAAACUCCACUUUGAUGUAUGUCCGAUGUUAUUAAUCUGUUUCAUGUAGUAAGGAGGUGCUUGUUACAUUUUGCUGUGAAGCAAGAUGUUUGACAUGGAUCUGCCGCCAAACAUUUUGAUAUCAUCUCUUAGAUUGAAAUUCCAGAAUAUAAUCCUCAUCUCAAAUAUAUACUCAUAACUACUAACACCCUAUCAUCGGCAUUGGCAAUGAUCUAGUGCUAUUUUUUCU
This 615-nucleotide long non-coding RNA is filed under the name Triticum aestivum (bread wheat). RNAcentral's name for it is "long non-coding RNA (TAES_LNC013774)". Lineage: Eukaryota; Viridiplantae; Streptophyta; Magnoliopsida; Poales; Poaceae. The record is from RNAcentral.